Molecule: long non-coding RNA, 167 nt
Filed under: Anas platyrhynchos platyrhynchos (common mallard)
Lineage: Eukaryota; Metazoa; Chordata; Aves; Anseriformes; Anatidae
Description: lncRNA (ENSAPLG00000020700.1)
Source: RNAcentral
UUCCAACGACGAUGAUGAUGAUGAUGAUGAUGAUGAUGAAGGCUCUUCCAAUAUUGAUGAUGAUGAUGAUGAAGAUGAUGAUGAUGAUGAAGAUGAUGAUGAUGAAGAUGAAGGCUCUUCCAAUGACGAUGAUGAUGAUGAUGAAGGCUCUUCUUCUUCUUCUUCUU